Molecule: non-coding RNA, 2109 nt
Organism: Pantherophis guttatus
Lineage: Eukaryota; Metazoa; Chordata; Lepidosauria; Squamata; Colubridae
Source: RefSeq, a predicted model, not a curated record
GGUGAGGGAAACGCUGGUACGUAAAAUUCUUGACGUUCUGCGGCAGGCUACGCAGGGGCCAGAAAGACUCCACUUCCCAGAAACCUCCGCUCUGUAUCGGGACAGGGGAAGGAUGCGUCAUUUCCUGUAUGGACGUUGCCUGUGGAAUAUCGGUCGGCUGUCUUUGCUGCCAACCCACGUGCGCGUGGAAACCCCGCGGAGCAUUCUACCAAUGGCCAAAGGCACAGAAGAAACAGAAAGGCUACUGAAGAGAAUCCAGGAGCUGGAAGAGACAGUGCAAAGGCUAGAAGACAGGCUCUUGGAAAACAGAAAAAGCCCAGGCGAGGGGAAUGGUCUCCCAGCAUCAGGAAAAGGGAAGAAACGGCCACAGCGGCCAUUCAAUUUCAGUGCGUAUGGCCAGAGGCAUGUAGCACUCAAGAUCGCCUACCUGGGGUGGGAAUAUCAGGGCUUUGCCAGCCAGGAGAACACCAACAAUACAAUAGAAGAGAAACUGUUUGAAGCUCUAGGAAAAACUCGGUUGGUGGUCAACAGACAGACUUCUAACUAUCAUCGCUGUGGACGCACAGACAAGGGAGUCAGUGCAUUUGGACAAGUGAUCUCUUUGGAUCUCCGGUCAAACCUUUCAGAAAAUAAAUCUGGGGUUGUUUACACAGAAGAUAAAAGUCAUAUUUCAGAGGAGAUCCGCUACACCCAUAUUUUGAAUCAGGUACUCCCUCCUGACAUAAGAGUAUUGGCAUGGGCCCCUGUAGUUCCUAGCUUCAGUGCUAGAUUUAGUUGCCUGAAGAGGACCUAUCGCUAUUUCUUUCCCCGUGCUGAUCUGGAUGUCACUCUUAUGAAUACAGCAGCUCAAAGAUUCAUAGGGACCCAUGAUUUUCGUAAUUUCUGCAAAAUGGACGUAGCCAACGGUGUGAUCAACUUUCAGAGGACAAUCCUGACUGCAGAAGUGAAGCUUGCAGAUCAAGAAAGGAAAGUAGAAGAACUAAACCAAUUCCAAAUAUAUGCAUUUGAAGUAACAGGCCAAGCAUUCCUUUAUCACCAAGUCCGCUGCAUGAUGGCCAUUCUCUUUCUGAUUGGACAAAGGAUGGAGAAGCUGGACAUUAUUGAUGAACUGUUUGAUAUAGAAACUAAUCCUAGGAAACCACAGUACAGCAUGGCAGUGGAAUUUCCUCUAGUUUUAUAUGAUUGUGAGUUUGAAAACAUCCAGUGGAUCUAUGAUCAUCAAGUCCAGGAAUUUAAUGUUACACGCUUUCAGCAGCUUUGGACGAACCAUGCUAUUAAAACUCAGAUGCUCUACAGCAUGUUAUGGGGCCUGGAUUUUGCAAAGAUACCUACAGAGCCAGGUAGGAAGAAUGAUAUUUUUAAAAACUGUAUUUAAACGAAUGUUCAAUUUACCAUGUGGUAAACUGCUGGUAUACUGUAUACUUCGGUCUAUCUGUAAAAUUCAAUUUUGUCAUUUUAUACACGCAUACAACUCACUUCAUUUUUUUUUUAAUUUUAUGAACAAACAAACGUAAAACACAAAUACAUGUGAACACUUAUACAUUAACAAAAAGUCCAUCGACUAACUUCUAGAAAACCUUCGCAUCGGUGAUUAAUGUCCAUUUAACCAAUUUUCCUUAAUCAUACUAUUUACAAAUUUACUUGCUCAUACCUUAAUACAUUCAUAGAAAUUCAGCAGUAUCUUUCUACAAUCAUAUUAACCAUUUAUUUAUACAAACCUACGGCUCAUCUCAUGUAUCUAUUUCUGCGAUUCUUGAGUUAUGUUCUCCUAGUGUCCUAUGUUGUUGGCCCUAUCCUUCCUUCUAACCAUGUGUACCAUUUUUGCCAAACUAAAUAGAAGUCAGUGUUUUCUUUAUCUUGGAGCUCUUUUGUGAGCCUAUCCAUCUCUGCACAUUCAUUUAUUUUUGUUAUUAUUUUUUCUUCUGUUGGUAUUAUCUCGGAUUUCCAAUUCUGAGCGUACACUAUGCGUGCCGCUGUCAAUAUGUGGAUGCUUCAAGCAACAGCACAACAAUACUCUGGAGAGAGGUAACACCACCAGUCCACAACCAGAUUAGUGCUUUAAUCGAGGGAGUGAAAGCCCACAAUUACAAACCGUUAAUGGAUCGGCCC